GCAUAGGCACAGGUGUGCACUCACACCAUAAUUUCUAAUGAAGGAAGCAGUCUUUGGCUAAGGAUGGAUGGGGUCUUGUGAACAAACAACCCGCUCCAGUGUUGCGUGUCACUGAGAGGCAACACAGAGUCUCCCAAUGUCCUCAGCAGGAGUAUGUUCCAGUCACUCAAGGCAUUGCCUUGCUGACUGCUGCACCAUUUAAUGACUGUUCUCUUUCUGGUCUCCUUUGAUGAGUGCUCUGUUCUGUCAUCAUCUCCAAGAUGACCAUUUGCCUUUAAACCCAGGCUUCAAGGUCUUUGCCCCAGGGGAAUCCAGAGCCAGAUACUGCCCUAUGAGGGAGAAAGAUUUUUAUUGACACCUUUAGUUUAGCCAAAAAAAAAAAAAAAAAAGAAAGAAAUGGAGCCAGAGAAAGGUUGGCUAACUUGUGGACGAUCACAGGGCUGGAAAGAGACAAACCUUGGCAUCAAACUCAGGCUCAAAGUCUGUGUGGUAAACCCACCACUCCUGGGAGAACCAGACAAUCACAGAGCACUCUAGCUGCAUUUCCCUGGCUCUCAGAGACAGACUACAGGGCUAGGCCUCUUCUGAGCCAAGCAUCUCCACCCAACAUCACAGAAGCAGAACGAAUACUUACAUGGUUCUCUGACCAUCCGCCAUAUUAUAUUUCCAACUGACCUCUUUCUGAAUUUCCUACUCU
Molecule: long non-coding RNA, 697 nt
Filed under: Mus pahari (shrew mouse)
Lineage: Eukaryota; Metazoa; Chordata; Mammalia; Rodentia; Muridae
Description: predicted gene 14246 (MGP_PahariEiJ_G0005588.1)
Source: RNAcentral